This 206-nucleotide unclassified non-coding RNA is filed under the name Hevea brasiliensis (rubber tree). Lineage: Eukaryota; Viridiplantae; Streptophyta; Magnoliopsida; Malpighiales; Euphorbiaceae. The record is from RNAcentral.
UUUAGCAACAUUUACAAUGGUUGUAAAAUCGUCAUCCAUUAUAAUGACAUCAGCAUUCUCUCUUGCAACCUCUGUUCCUGAUUUGCCCAUUGCAAGUCCAAUGUCUGCCUCAUGCAAAGCGGGAGCAUCAUUGGUCCCAUCACCAGUUACUGCCACAACUUCUCCAAACAUAUUCCUCAAAUUAGUUACCAAGGUGUGUUUGUCCA